AUGAACGCUGGCGGCGUGCCUAAUACAUGCAAGUCGAGCGAACGGACGAGAAGCUUGCUUCUCUGAUGUUAGCGGCGGACGGGUGAGUAACACGUGGAUAACCUACCUAUAAGACUGGGAUAACUUCUGGAAACCGGAGCUAAUACCGGAUAAUAUUUUGAACCGCAUGGUUCACAAGUGAAAGACGGGCUUGCUGUCACUUAUAGAUGGAUCCGCGCUGCAUUAGCUAGUUGGUAAGGUAACGGCUUACCAAGGCAACGAUGCAUAGCCGACCUGAGAGGGUGAUCGGCCACACUGGAACUGAGACACGGUCCAGACUCCUACGGGAGGCAGCAGUAGGGAAUCUUCCGCAAUGGGCGAAAGCCUGACGGAGCAACGCCGCGUGAGUGAUGAAGGUCUUCGGAUCGUAAAACUCUGUUAUUAGGGAAGAACAUAUGUGUAAGUACCUGUGAACAUAUUGACGGUACCUAAUCAGAAAGCCACGGCUAACUACGUG
This 496-nucleotide ribosomal RNA is filed under the name uncultured bacterium. RNAcentral's name for it is "partial 16S ribosomal RNA". It matches the Rfam family "Bacterial small subunit ribosomal RNA", at positions 29 to 507 of the family's 1533-position model. The record is from RNAcentral.